AGUGAACGCUGGCGGCAGGCCUAACACAUGCAAGUCGAGCGGCAGCGGGUUCCCGCGAGGGGAUGCCGGCGAGCGGCGGACGGGUGAGGAACACAUCGGAAUCUGCCUGGUUGUGGGGGAUAACGUAGGGAAACUUACGCUAAUACCGCAUGCGACCCUGAGUCGACGGACUUGGGGUGAAAGUGAGGGACCUUCGGGCCUCACGCGACCAGAUGAGCCGAUGUCGGAUUAGCUAGUUGGCGGGGUAACGGCCCGCCAAGGCGACGAUCCGUAGCUGGUCUGAGAGGAUGAUCAGCCACACUGGGACUGAGAC
This 313-nucleotide ribosomal RNA is filed under the name uncultured bacterium. RNAcentral's name for it is "bacterial SSU rRNA". It matches the Rfam family "Bacterial small subunit ribosomal RNA", at positions 30 to 325 of the family's 1533-position model. The record is from RNAcentral.